This is a long non-coding RNA of Ostrea edulis (European flat oyster), 3911 nucleotides long. RefSeq lists it as uncharacterized. Lineage: Eukaryota; Metazoa; Mollusca; Bivalvia; Ostreida; Ostreidae. The transcript has 4 exons. The record is from RefSeq and is a predicted model, not a curated record.
UUCCAAACAGGUAUAAAGUGCAUCAUUUCAUAUCACUGCGAUAUGAUGAUGUUAGAGAUCUCGUCAUAAAACACAACGCACUUGAGUCUUCCACAACCAUUUCACCUUCUACUGAAAUCAAAUCGGUAUCGAAUGCCAGAAGAACAGCGACAAUCCAUGAAUAUAUUUAUUAUGCACGAGAAAAAUCAUCACCAUUUGUCAGGACGGACUUUUGGAAGAUGCUCCCACACGUCUGAUAAUGUGUUUGCGUGCUCUUCCAUGGAUGCCCAUUGCUGGGAGUACUGGUCACCAAUACUGUAGUACUCAAAUCAUCAACCAAUUCCAGCUGUACAAUGCUGUGCUGUCGAGGAAGAACAAUUGCCAUGGCUGGUCUGGAUAUGUCUAAUCUCAGUCAGACGGCAUGUAACCAACAUCCGGUAGUGAUUUUGAGGUUGAAAGCUAUUGGAGAUGGAUUUGUUUGAUUGACACGAAGAAAUAUUGAAGAUAUCCGUAAGGGAAAUUGACAUAAAAUAUGACUACAAAUACUUAAUUCCAUACAAUAUAAAGUAAGUUGGGGUAGUUUACGCAUUAUAAACUGCAGAACAGUAGUGUACAAAAGAGCUUGUGGUUGUUGUUGUUUUUGUUUUACUAGAAACUGAUAAAGUUCUCUGUUGAGGUUUCCUGAAGACAAUACACAUACAAUGAUCUUGACUGUGUUCUGCAUUUCUACACCUACUGAGGCUAGUGUCCACUUUAUGGUUAAUCCUCAAGUUGCCAGCACCAUGUGUCUUUCAGACUUUGCCCUCACGAUCACUAUAUCUAAUAACCUAAGCUCAAGGAAAGAGGCCAUUAUAGGAUAUCAGGAAUGCACUUAGCGGUGUCCAAAUCUGAAAAGGAGAAAAGCGAAGUUACAGGUCAUUGAAGACGCUCUCCUUUGCUUUACGAAUAACGGGACGUGAACCGUCGGAAUGGACAUCAGUAUUUCUCCUAAUAAUGUCACAGACAAUCGGAUAGAUAUGUAAAAGAAAGGCGUAAGAUUUGGAAAACAUAGAUGUGGUUACUUCAAAGAAAUCUUUCAAGAAUGCGGAAAACUGAUUGAGAAUAUCCCACCCGUGAUCAUUUAAUAGGAGACUGGCGUAAUCUUUGUUGGUUAUUUUUUCAUCUAACUUAAUGUCAUUAAGAAUUCUGCGUUGUUCAUAUAGACGGUCAAUCAUUGAAUGUGAGGCAAAUUCCGGAUCAGAUAAUGUUUCGUAACUCCAAGUAGACCUAAAGUGACCUUCGAGUUUGCGACUUUAGGAGGGAAUUUUGAAAAAUCUUAAUGCAUGAUUGUAACGUAUUUCCGAAACACGAUAUAUUUUCCUAUUAAGGACUUAUAAUCCCUCCUUUUCCCAUGUUUUUUGUUUUGUAUUAUCGUGGAUACAGACGUCCAUGUUUUUUAAAAGGUCGAAUUCCAAUUGCUACGCAAAAGGGUAAAAGCAGAAGCCGCAAAGGCAUGCUUUGCCUUUAUCAGCAGAACUCCAUCGCAAAAUGGGCUUGCUAGAAGCAAAAUCUGAAGUUGUGGUAGCCGAGGCCGAACUAAAAGGGUUCUAUGACAAAAUCGAAAAUUUGACAACGCGGGUAUUGAGGAUAAUUGAAAACAAUUGGGCCCAGAUGUGACGGUAAAUGACAAUUUUCAUACACUCAAACCGAUCGAAUCGCUUCCCUACUCGAAACAACCUCAUAUUGAAACUGAAUAGUCAACACCCAUUCGGAUUUUCUUCAGAUCCUGCGCAUCUAACAAUGGAUAGUGAACAAGACAGUCAACCGAAAGAUUUCCGAAGUAGUUGUUGAAGAAAGAAUUAGUGAUUUCGAUUAUUUCAAAGUUUGUUGAUAGGCCUAAACCUUAUCUUUUCAAAUCUACUUUCCUUAAUGUGAUGAAUGAAAUAGGCGCCAAUGGCUCGAAGGAACUUGACUUGCUCGUAAAGUGGUUCAUUCUCUCACCAGAGGGCGCGUUACGCAAGCUUCACAUACACCUCUGUCAACGUUUGGAAUCACGUGACAAUAUAAUCAAAUGAUAUAAACAAUCAUUCUUGGUUUCCUUUCCCUUUAAAAGUUCUGGCAACAGGUGAUACAUCAGUCUCUUUUCAUAGCCCACUGGCACUUUAAUAAGUACAUAUUUACCAUUUCGCUGUUUGCCUCUUAUUUUACAAGUUUUAUCGUAUUUUUACAGCCUUUCUUACUUUUGAUUCCAUGUUUACAUUUAAAUCUCCACCACGUGAAUGUUCUACAUUCAUACGCAUAUUACGAAGUAGUUCCAAAUUUAGGAUCAGAAGAUGGCGAUUUUAAACAACUUACAGAAAGCAUCAAUUUAAUUGCACCAAAACAUUUCAUAAUAUAACUAAAUAUUUUGUGCAAAACAUAAAUGUUGCAUAUUAGAAACUUUUACAAGAUUUCUGUAAAACGAAGUCGACAGAGGUGUAGUACGAGGAGAGCACGGAACUCUGGGUAGAGAAUGAAAGUGGUUAGGUCCUGAAUCAGUUAAACAUACCCAGCGCUUAACAUUUCGAACCUGAGUAGCCCGAAACUUAACGAUCCACGAUUGGUGUACAAAAACGACAUAAAUUAUGGUGAGAGGAACCCCCAAAAAACCAGAGGAUGACAUACUAGCGAGGAAGACCCAUUUAUCGGAGAAAGAUGACAAGUCGUCAUUGAGCAGGUGUAUCAUACAUAAGGCCAGUCACUCUUUGUUUGAAUGCCGGGCAUUUAAUACAAUCGAAGGAAGAUUUUAAUGGAUAAUUGCAUAUGUUACUCUACGAAGCAUCAGAGUCACAAGUCCAGAAAAUGUACAGUGCACAGUGUACAACAGUAAGAGUCAUUUGACUGUCAUGCUCUCUGCGCAAGACACUGUGGUUGAUAAAUCCACAUGGCGGAGAGGACGAGCCUCUAACUCUGCAAUAGUUUACUAACAAGUGUACCGAGAUUUGUCAACGUGACAUUAAGAUAGUUCUCGUCACUGUGACCCAUAGUGCAUUUCCUGAGAUUCCGUACUUAUGCUAUCUUGGAUUAUCAAAGUAACCGCACAUUAGCGCAAAUGAUCUGUUUGACGCGUUUGACAUAGUUGGUGGAAUCUAGUUUUGCUGGCAAUACGCUCAAGUAGGGCAGAAGAUCUGCAGGAUUCACAGCAGAAUCACUCGAUGGUACUUACCGAUUGGAUCUGCCAACACUUAGUGUACAGAGAUACCAAAUGAUCAAUCGGGGAUAUCUAUAACGUAGCUGCAUCACAAACACUUUAGACCAAUUGCUCACGAACUACCUCCUCCUGAACAGGAGCGGCACACCAAUCUACUACUAAUCGGCAGAGAUGUGUCCGAAUCACAACAUGUACUUGAUCAUAUCAUUGGACCUUGUUCUAAACAAUUUGCCCAAAAACUUAGAAUUGGAUGGGUUUUCAUUGGAGACCUGUGUCGACAGUUUGCGUUGCGUAAAGAACUAUCAUGUGUUACAAGGUGGAAGGGACUCAAUAUUCCAACCUUGUACGAGUAAACUUGAAGUUUUUGAUGACUAUGGAUUGAGUGAAUCCUUUCAGACGAGAAAAGAUAGAUUCGCACCGACUGUUGAACAAUUCAAACAUGACAAAAAGAUCGGUUUGUCUUGUUAGGACAUACUUUUCAUUGAGUGUGAUCAGAUGCCUAGAGUAAAGUAAACAUUCCCUGUCGACUGGUCACACCCACUGUGAGCCACAUAUCUUGAUCAGCUAAAUGGAGUAAUCCGUAGUCCAAGUCAGCAUGUAAAGAACAGCCUACAAAUUGUAUGAAACACGUAAGACAGCAUUCGACUUGUGAUAACUUGUAUUUGCAAAGUAGAUCAUUAUAACGACCAUAGCAUUUGUGAAAUGCAGACUUAGUCGAGAAUGUUGAAACACCAUGUUCAUUGAAAUAAAUAAAUAAGGAGAC